Non-coding RNA from Salmo salar (Atlantic salmon), 58 nucleotides. The record is from Rfam. Lineage: Eukaryota; Metazoa; Chordata; Actinopteri; Salmoniformes; Salmonidae.
UAGCUCAGUUGAUAGAACAUGGUGUUUGCAACGCCAGGGUUGUGGGUUCGAUUCCCAC